Molecule: long non-coding RNA, 364 nt
Filed under: Elaeis guineensis (African oil palm)
Lineage: Eukaryota; Viridiplantae; Streptophyta; Magnoliopsida; Arecales; Arecaceae
Description: long non-coding RNA (EGUI_LNC081338)
Source: RNAcentral
UCCUCCUGGACUUCGAUGGAAGGAAGGUCUUGGCUAGGGAGUCUAACCUACAAGUAGAUCAUCAUCUCGUUGUUCGACAGCUUGAAGCAUACACUAAGCAGCAGCUUCAAGUUUGCUUCCAUCUUUGUCCUUCUUUCCUUAGGUGCUCCAUUUCCUCACCCUAGAAGUCCUCACACUCUCUUUUUGUUCUUCACUUCUUCUUGGCCCCACUAUAUUCUUUUCUCACCUCAUCGAUUUGAGGAGUUUUAUACUGUUGUCAUCAAUCCUAGGAUGCCGACAUAGUGUCUCCCCUAGCUAAGUUGAUUCUUGCACAUUAGCUUCUUAUGUAUGGAGAGCUUCUAUAUUUAUUUAUAGUCAAGAUCUU